GUGAGUCAUCGAAUCUUUGAACGCACCUUGCGCUCCUUGGUAUUCCGAGGAGCAUGCCUGUUUGAGUGUCAUUAAUAUAUAUCAACCUCUUCAGGUUUUUACUUGUCGAGUGUUUGGAUGUGGGGGUCUUUUUGCUGGUCUCUUUUGAGGUCGGCUCCCCUAAAAUGCAUUAGCAGAACAAUUUGUUGACCCGUUCAUUGGUGUGAUAACUAUCUACGCUUUUGACGUGAAACAGGGUUCAGCUCUAACAGUCCAUUGACUUGGACAAUUUUCAUUAAUGUGACCUCAAAUCAGGUAGGACUACCCGCUGAACUUAAGCAUAUCAAUAAGCGGAGG
This 336-nucleotide ribosomal RNA is filed under the name uncultured Cortinarius. Its description in RNAcentral is "eukaryotic LSU rRNA". The stretch from base 1 to 71 matches the Rfam family "5.8S ribosomal RNA", at positions 84 to 154 of the family's 154-position model. The record is from RNAcentral. Lineage: Eukaryota; Fungi; Basidiomycota; Agaricomycetes; Agaricales; Cortinariaceae.